UGGUAAACCUUGAAUAGCUUAUUUAAUCAC
RNAcentral lists this non-coding RNA (30 nucleotides) under Rattus norvegicus (Norway rat). The record is from RNAcentral. Lineage: Eukaryota; Metazoa; Chordata; Mammalia; Rodentia; Muridae.